Molecule: long non-coding RNA, 924 nt
Filed under: Carica papaya (papaya)
Lineage: Eukaryota; Viridiplantae; Streptophyta; Magnoliopsida; Brassicales; Caricaceae
Description: long non-coding RNA (CPAP_LNC006232)
Source: RNAcentral
GUGUUGAUACUGUCCGCGCAUACACUUUUGGCGUUCUAUACUUUGUGGAGGUUUGUGAUGUAGCUUUUGUUAAGCUUUCUGCAGCUGCAUCAGGUCAUCUUGCUAAACUUAUUUUGCCUCAGAUGCCUUCAUAAAGGAAUUGGGAUCUGGAAUAGUAUCAUUAGGAAAUUAGUAAAUUGGGUAAUAAGUUUGGAGUGUCAAUGAUGUUGCACCUUUUUGUGCUUUUCGUCAUUAGAAUUGAGCCUAAUCUGCAAUCCAUCAAUGGUGACUCAGGGAAUACAACGUUAGCAUAACUUGUACUCUUUUCACCUUUUCACCACUAGUUGGUAGUAUAAAAACAAAACCCAACAGUAAAGAGUAGAACAUGUUACCCUAUAUUUCUCCUUUUGUCCAAUAUUGAAUGACAUGAACACUCUUGAAGAUCCUUUACUGUCAAGCAAAUGAGCUUCUUUUUUUACUGUUUUUUUGAAACAGGUCGACAUUGAACUUCCAGAAGAUCUACCUUUGAUCGAGGCACACACCAUAGGAGAGUCCCUGCAGAUAAAGCUCGAGAAACUUCCAGAAGUUGAGCGCGCAUUCGUUCAUCUAGACUACGAAUGCGAUCACAAACCAGAGCAUUCUGUUCUCAACUCUCUUCCCAACAAUCAGGGUUAAUUUGCAGUUGUUCUGUAAGUUGUUUUGACUUAUUGAUAGUAGUCUCUAGUUGAGUGCACGAAAUGGGGAAAAUGAGAGAAGAUAUUGUACAUUAAGUUCCCUUCACGCAAUGGAAAUAAUUCCUACGAUAGCUCGAGUAUCAUACCUUGAAUGGUUCGACAAUUGUUGAUGAUUGAUGGUUUCUACGGUACACUCGAAAUUUUCUCAGAUGCAUCUAAUGAUGAAGAAGCAUGAAGGUAUCACAAUAUGGAAACAUAAAAGGGCAAUUCA